Molecule: ribosomal RNA, 484 nt
Filed under: uncultured bacterium
Lineage: Bacteria
Description: partial 16S ribosomal RNA
Rfam family: Bacterial small subunit ribosomal RNA
Source: RNAcentral
AUUGAACGCUGGCGGCAGGCCUAACACAUGCAAGUCGAGCGGAUGAAGGGAGCUUGCUCCUGGAUUCAGCGGCGGACGGGUGAGUAAUGCCUAGGAAUCUGCCUGGUAGUGGGGGAUAACGUCCGGAAACGGGCGCUAAUACCGCAUACGUCCUGAUGGAGAAAGUGUGGGAUCUUCGGACCUCACGCUAUCAGAUGAGCCUAGGUCGGAUUAGCUAGUUGGUGGGGUAAAGGCCUACCAAGGCGACGAUCCGUAACUGGUCUGAGAGGAUGAUCAGUCACACUGGAACUGAGACACGGUCCAGACUCCUACGGGAGGCAGCAGUGGGGAAUAUUGGACAAUGGGCGAAAGCCUGAUCCAGCCAUGCCGCGUGUGUGAAGAAGGUCUUCGGAUUGUAAAGCACUUUAAGUUGGGAGGAAGGGCAGUAAGUUAAUACCUUGCUGUUUUGACGUUACCAACAGAAAAAGCACCGGCUAACUUCGUG